AUUGAACGCUGGCGGCAUGCCUUACACAUGCAAGUCGAACGGCAGCACGGGUGCUUGCACCUGGUGGCGAGUGGCGAACGGGUGAGUAAUAUAUCGGAACGUACCUUAUUGUGGGGGAUAACGCAGCGAAAGCUGUGCUAAUACCGCAUAAUCCCUAAGGGGGAAAGCGGGGGACCGUAAGGCCUCGCGCAAUUAGAGCGGCCGAUACCUGAUUAGCUAGUUGGUGAGGUAAAGGCUCACCAAGGCAACGAUCAGUAGCUGGUCUGAGAGGACGAUCAGCCACACUGGGACUGAGACACGGCCCAGACUCCUACGGGAGGCAGCAGUGGGGAAUUUUGGACAAUGGGGGCAACCCUGAUCCAGCAAUGCCGCGUGAGUGAAGAAGGCCUUCGGGUUGUAAAGCUCUUUUGUCAGGGAAGAAACAGCAGCUCUAACACAGUUUGCGAAUGACGGUACCUGAAGAAUAAGCACCGGCUAACUACGUGCCAGCCGCCGCUGUAA
This 501-nucleotide ribosomal RNA is filed under the name uncultured bacterium. RNAcentral's name for it is "partial 16S ribosomal RNA". It matches the Rfam family "Bacterial small subunit ribosomal RNA", at positions 30 to 523 of the family's 1533-position model. The record is from RNAcentral.